UCCUCGAAAAGCUCUCCCUCUUCUGAGCUGUGAUCGACCCACUCGUGCCCUUUGCGAUUGACUCGAUCAGACACUUCUUGUAGAUCGACUGCCCAUCGCCGAAUACAAAAUCGAUAGACCCCCGAAUGUAGCAAUCCCUGAAGUAGUGACGUCCUUCCUUGUCGUACAACGUGUCCUGCGCUCCCAAAAAUGCACAUCGGUAGAAUGCGCCCUGGUCUCCCUGGAUCCGAAGCGCCACCGCCUGCUUCCCUACAGCGCCGCCCGGUGGAGCGGGUGCAGAGUUCGCGAACGUGCAGUCAUAAGCAAUGAACCCCUUCGACUCGAUCGCAGUAGAAGCACUCUUCGCCGUUCCUCCCGCCUUCGCAGCUGUAUCUCCCCACACCAACGUCGCUUUCCUGCUCUGGCACUGGAACGUGAUAAACGGCUUCGUCUUCGGUACCAAGAUCUUCUCCCUGCACCAUUCCCAAACAAAAACCACGUCAACUCACCCAUCACCGCCAAUAACCCCAACACCAUCCACUUCUCACCAGCUCUCGUCAAAAUACGGGCCCAUGACUUACUUGUAAACGCCGUCAGGAAUGUAGAUCACAAUGCGCUUCGUGUUGCCCUUCGGUACCGCGUUCACAGCCUGCUGAACAGUCCUGUACGGCCCUUUCUGCUUGUUCACAUAAAUGGUCUUCCCCUUCGGUGCCGCCUGUGUUGUCAUAGUCUCGUCGACGCCCAGAACACUUUGCUGCUGCUUCUUUUCGUACUCGACGCGGACGGAUUCUAGCCACUUAUCCCACGACGAAUCGCUGUCGCUUCCCUGUCCGGAGAGAGUUCUGAACUCCGCUGCUGACGCGGGCUUCGCAACCGAACAUACGGCGACUAAAAUCACCAGUGCCGAGAAAAUGCAUCUUGACAUGCUCCCCAUUGCGGGUAGAUCAGAAAGAUUUCGCCAAUGCACUUCGCAACGCACCACUGUGCUGAUCAGACCGAAAUUGUGAACCGUGAUGUUGGCGCCUGUGCGAAAAAUCCCUGAACUACCUCUCGGCACCCUUCGCCUGAUCCCAGCGAGGAACGAGAAGUGGGAGACUUGCUGCAGUCGAGGGACCGCGAGGGGUUUUAAAGCGAGAAGACCUCACCACGGUCCAUAACUGCGAGUUCGUCGCGAAAGGAGGCGGUAAACCAUGUGAGAGAGCCCAAAUAUAGAGCUGCAUACUUUUUCUGAGACAUUCGUUUCACAAUAGCCUCCACCAAACAAACACUUCCGUGCCAGAAUAUUUCGGCUCAACAAUCUACCUGAGAUGAAACCCAAUGAUAGUAACUGCGAGCUCAGAUAACCUCAGGUGGCAUCUCGGAAUCCUUGCACUGCUUCUCAACAAAAACAGCGCUCCAGGGGUAGGAUUCACCUGGGCCCACCAAGCAUCGAGCGUGAGGCACUGAGAUGGACCUUCGUUGGAAAUGCAUAGUAAAAUGGGAUGGUGUCAUUUAACGGUUCUGAGAGCUUCGACAUGAUGCUUGGUGCAGGAGAUUAGUUCGACAUAUGCCGUGGAAUCACAUCCUGAUGAGAUUUUGUGAUCAUGGACACAGCAAAGCACGUUGUGAAUGCACCCCUGAAGUGGUCAUGCUCACUGCUUUUCGACGAGUGCAGACUUCAGUGUCUUGGUUUAGAAUAAAAACAAAGAGGACAGUCAAUGCUAACAAUCAAGCAACCCCUCCAUUUGACUGUCGAAUUCAAAUUAGUAUGGAUGUUAAUUAAUAGUAUUUGCAAUAUUAGUAAGUGCAUAUGAAAGGCAUCCAAAAAAUUUGCAAGUAUUUCAAAUUUGUUCUUUUGCUUUUUAUUAAUCACGUUUUUGCAAUCCAAAUACCAACCACCAGCAUGGAAACAAUAGAAAAUAGAAGAAUCAAGUCCGAAAGGGCAUUCUUCAAAAUCUUUUACAAAGUUUGUUCUAAACUUACUAAGAAAAACAAAAACAAAAAAGUAUAUUAUAUAUGUAUAUUUAUAUAUAUAUAUAUAUACACAUCCAAAAAAAAAUUCUUACAAUUAUAUCUUAAGAAGUAUAUAUUAAAGAAUUCUUAAGUAAAAGUUAUUUAGGACAGACAUGUUUUACAGACAUAUAUAUAUAUAUAUAUAUAUAUUUGACAAGAUGUGGUGCAUGUAGUAUCAUAAUUAUAGAAGUAAGUUUUGGUGUUUGGUAAUAUUCUUGAAGAUUAAAACUAUAACUAAUAAUAUUUUAGAUGUAUUUAAUGAGAGUAUUUAUAAAGAUUUGAAUAAUUGUGAAAUAAGUAAAUCGUUUCUUUGUCUCAAUAUGAAAUGUUAUUAAUUACUUAGAAGGCCUAUCUAAUAUCUUUGUAUAGAGUUGAGAUUGGAAUUUGUAUUAAAUAACAUUUUGGAUCAUAGACUUUAUGUAUUUAUAAAGGAAUUUUAUAACUUUGUUGUAAAAUUUACUCUUUUCUUAAAUAAAAUGUUGUUCAUUUAAAAAUUUCUUAAACCUCAUAUCUUACUAAAAUAUUUUAUUAAAUGAUAUAUUUAUGUGUAUUUUAAAAUUAUAUCUUACAAAAACAAUUAAUUUUCAUAUUAUUCUUGAAAAUUUUUAAAUAUAAUUAUUGAUUUAAAAGAAAUUAGGUAUAGAAUUUUCUUAGCAGUCUUUAGAAAAUCCUUUCAAGAAAAAAAAAAAAUUAGACUAAAAUGUAUAUUUUUUUCAAUAUAUUUUUAAUUUUCUUAAGAAUAGAUAAAAUUAUUGAUCUAUACUUUCAAGUGCAGAUUUUCAACCAAAUAUUCUAACUUUAACAAAAUAUUUUUAAAAAUAAAAUAAAAUAAAAUAUCAUUUCAAAAUCUUUUUCAGUAAUACAUUUUAAAUUUUAUAAUAUUUGUCUCUUAAAAUUAUUUAAGAGACUAUUUAAAAAAUUUAUAUAGAAAUAUUUUUAAAAAAUAAUUUUAUGUAUUUUAUAUAGUGUUUGUCAUUUUUUUUUAUNNNNNNNNNNNNNNNNNNNNNNNNNNNNNNNNNNNNNNNNNNNNNNNNNNNNNNNNNNNNNNNNNNNNNNNNNNNNNNNNNNNNNNNNNNNNNNNNNNNNGUUAAAAUAUUCUAGUUAAUUAUUUUUUGUUUAAUUACGCUUCUAAUCACAUUUUAAGAAUACUAUUUUGUAUUUAUAUAUAAAUAAGUAAUAUACUUUUUAAAAAUAAACUAAUAAUUUAUAUUUAUUUUUUAAAUAUAAAUUUAAGUAAUAUUUGCAUAUAAGUUAACAAAAGAUAAAUAAGAUUAGAAUAGUUAAGGUGUCUGAUAGAAUUUCUAUUAUUAUUGUAAUUUUGACAAAAAAUGGAAUUCAACUAAUGUAUUAAAUAAUCAAAAGAAGUACAAUACAAAUCCUAGACUUUAUAUCUAAGAAGAAAAAGUCAAGAUUUUUAUAAGAAGUGAAUGUUUAAUUUCUUAUAUUAUUACACCAAUAUGUAUAAUUAAUCACUUUGUAAUAUUUUAUUACUAUAAUUAAUUUCUUGAAAUAUCCUAAAUUCUUACAAAUGUUUAGCCAUCUGUAAUGUAUCAUAUCUCAUGAAAAUGGACACUUUAUCUGUAAUGUGUUUUCCAAUUUUUUCCUUUAAAAUUUUCUGCACACCUUGCCCAUAUUCUUUUAGUCUUUUUUAAAGUAAAAUUCUAUUAUAGAGAUCACUUUAAAUGUCUUAUUCAAAGAUAUAUUUCUUUCUUUUGUAUCCUAAUAGUUAAUAUACUAAGCAACUUUACAAUACCCAAAUUUUAUAGAAAUGUAUAAACUGGGGAUAAAUAUUCUUUCCAUAAAAAUGUAUUCUAGGGUCCCCAUUCCUACAAUUCAGUUGUUAAUUUGUGUGAGAGAAAGGUCACAUAAUUCUAUAAUUUACAAGCUUGAAGACGUUGCCAAAAAUUAUACAGGCUUGUUUCAAGCUUUUGGAGAAGAUAAACAACACAAUGUAUAUCAAUACAUGGAUUUAUUUUUAGUGAUAGAUGCUUCUCUUUUAUGUUAUAUAAGCCAAAUGAUCAUUGCUUCUUUGCAAGAACAUGGUUGGGACCAAACAUUGUUCUAUUAGAAAAAUUAUAAACUAACAAGGUGUUUCAUUUGCUUAUUAUUAUAUUAGUAUUAAAAAAACUAGUUGCAAAAGCUUUCUGAUUUAUUUAAUUAGUUAAGUCAUAAUUUCUUUAUACAUUAUCCAAAGAUAUGCAUUAUGAUUUAAGGUAAGUAUACACAAAAAACCAUAGAAUUGGUUUAUACAUGUUAUUCUUUGUCUUAAUGGACUAGUUUUCGAAUCUACACAAACAACUUUAAAAAAAUACCUACAACUUGAUUCUUCUAAUUUUAUAGAAGUAGUGCUUCUUGUACAAAGGAUAAUUUUUUAUGCAAGUGGAGAAUUCUAGAUUGAACUUUUAUUCAAUUUUUAUUUCUAGUUUUAUUUAUUUUUUUAUUCUAAUGGAUUGUAAAAAAUGAAAACCAAUUGCCUUCUUUUAUUCCUUCAUACUAGAUAUAAAAUUUAAAAAUUACAAUAGUUAGAUGGUCACUUUUCAAGAUAUAUAAUGUAUUGUUGUCUUGAACUUUAGAUAAAACCUUAUCUUAUUGAAGUAGUUUUUUUCUAAGAACAAUGAAAAUAAUAAUAUAAAAAACCAUAUAUAUCCAAAAAAAAAUUGUUAAUUGAUAUUUGAUUAUUUAUUCUUAAAAAAUAAGAAUUUGAAAUGGAGCUAUGAAGAGGGUUUUAAUCCUUUGGAGGCCUUUUGAUUGUAAAGUGGUUGCAUAAUGAGAAUUGAGGUGGAAAUCAAUGAAAGAAAAUUUUGUACUUCUACUAUUGAAAUCUAUUCCAUAUCUAAUGAAACAUUUUUUGAGAAUUGAGCUUUAAAUAAUUACACACUUGAGACCACACCUUGCCUAUUUUGUUCCAUAUUUUAGUGCCAAUGUUCUACCUAUGCUUUGAUAAUAGUAUCCAAGCAAAAUAGGACUGCCAUUAUGAAACCCUUNNNNNNNNNNNNNNNNNNNNNNNNNNNNNNNNNNNNNNNNNNNNNNNNNNNNNNNNNNNNNNNNNNNNNNNNNNNNNNNNNNNNNNNNNNNNNNNNNNNNUGAGGCGCCUAGAGGGAUUCCCAGGAUCAAUUCUGGCAGCGAGGAUCUCUACGCUGAGGUCAUAGGUGAAUUUUCGGCGGGCAGUUUGGUAGAGGAUCCAGACCGUGAGGCAUUUCAGUCACCAUGUGUCGAUGGCAAGAACUCUCGUAUUGUCGCUGGCUUUGCUCACGUUUUCCCAAAUUACUCGACCUACCUUGCGAAACCAGGCUUGUAUAUGGAGGCUCUUCAUAUCAGGAAACCUUACAGAAGGAUGGGAUUGGGCACGAUGUUUCUCAAGAAAAUUGCCAAGGAGGCUGUGAAGCUAGGGAUGGAGAGGAUAGAAUGGUGUUUGCUGCAUUCCAACCAGCCUGCCAUUAAUUUUUAUGAAGGCAACGGUGGAAGGAUCAAACCUGGGUUUCGGAAGUGUGCCAUCGAUGGCGAAGCCUUCAACAGUUGCGAACCAUAGCGUCAAGAUCACCUCUUGCAUCGAAAAUAAAAGGCACUUGAAGUCGUCGUCGUUAGAGAAAGAUUUUAGAAAAUGCUUCCUGAAACUUUUCUUUGUGGAUGCUUGAGCUGUUUUCCUUGUAAAGCAUUAUUUGAAGAUUGUUUUUCAGAGUUUUUGCAAUUAGAGUGCCAGGACAGCUAGCAUGCGUCUCAUGCAUUGUUGGCUUUUGGAAUUGGUAGUUGUAGAUAGUAAAUUGAUUCUCUUUUAGAGUUAGUGUUCACUUCGCUACAGAUUAGUUACAUAAGUUUCAUUGGUCAACACUCCGUCAGCGAUGAAUAGAUUAAUAUUUUUUUGCUUUAGUUAAGUGAGUGCUUCGGCACAUCUUUACUCGCAACGUUCCAAUUGUUGGCAAAACUUCGAUAAACACCGUGAUAUCCGUUUCGUUAUCCUUUUUGUUAAUGAAUAGCUGUUUUGCAUCUACGUAUUGUGGGUCUUUUCCUGAACAAGUGAUAUCAGUGACGUCGAGAAGCACCAUCUGCAAUCCUGUUUAGAAAGCGGGUGAGGGAACCGGUUUCUCUGCAAUUAAUCCAGUUUGUUUGUGCUAAAACAUCAACAAAUAGAUCGAUAAGCAAACCAGAACCUGUUUCUUUCCAAGAUGUGGUUUCUCUGCAGUUGAUGUGUUAGAGCACCCUGAAUCUUGCUGCAAAAAAUAUGCUGUAUUAAACACAUUGUUUCUCAUCAAAUAUCUGAUUAAAAAAAAAAGUACAUGUAUACUUUGAGGAUCAUUAUUCUUAUUGAGAUAUUAUUAAUAUUGAUAGAUAACAUCAAAGAAAAGCUUCAAUAGUGAAAGUUUCAUAGUAAAUGUAUUAAAAUUUUACCAUAAUUGUUUUAAUGAUAAGUGAAUGUUGAUUUAAACUUUUAUUAUUGCCAACUAAAUUUAUUUGGUUUUUUUGUAAUUAUACAAAUAUAUAUAUAUAUAUAUUGAAUGAAGUUUAGAUAAGAAAGUAGAUCCAAAUAUUAUUAUAUAAGUAAAAAAAUCUCAUCUAAAAAUAAAGAAAUUAAUUCUUUUCCCACAAUCAAACCACCAACAUUUUUCUAUACAUUAGCUCUUUUUACUCUUCAUAUCCAACAAGUUUAAAUAAUUAAAUAAUUAUAUAUAAUGAAUCAAAUAAUUAUAUAUAUAUAUAUAUAAAUACCUUCAUAAUAAUAAAUAAUAAAUUGAAAUUUUUCUAAAACUUGAUACAAAAUUAUGAUUUGUUUAUCAAUUUGAAGAUAAAAUAAAUAAACUAUCAAUUAUAUAAGAAUAUCAAAAGAUAUAUUAUAAUUUUCUUAAAUAGAAUCUUUAGUAAAUAUAAAAUCUACUGAAAAUCCAUGAUAAUAAUGGAUAUAAAAAAAAUUGGUUACUUUUUUACUUAUGAUAGUUCUUAGUUCUUAUUUUAAGAUUUUUUUAAAAUUUCCUCAAAAAGAAUAAUUAUCUAAAUAAGUCUUCAUAAAUAACAUACAUAAUAUAAAAUAUCUUUUAACAACUAAACAUAAACAAGAAUAUCUAUUCUAUCUUAUAUACAUGUUAAAUACGUUAUACUUUUAUUGAACUUUAUCUAGUCCUUAUAAUCAAACUUCUUUAUGAAUAUAUUUAUUAUUUAAAUAUCACUCAAUUUGUAUACUUCAAUACAUUAUAUGGUGAGAUUAUAAUUUGUAAUUGCACAUCUUAUGGUAUAGUUUGAUCGACUGUCAAAUAUUCCAUGAGAUAUUUCUGUAGAACUCUUCUAUCUCUCCACUUAUUAAAGAUCCAUUUGUAAUUAUUACAAAUACAACUGUCUAAAUUAUAUAGAUUGGAUACGAAGUCCAAUCAUUUCAUUUGUAAAUAACUUCUAUUACAUUCUCGUGUUUGCACUUGUCACUAUGCACUGAAGCAACUAUAAUCGCGUUCUGGAGUUCACACUAACUUUAUAUAUACUCAUCUUCAGUUCUCAUGUUAUGGAUUUCACUCCAACUCCUACCAGUGCAUCUUCAACCAAAUGGGAAUCUCGAAAGAACAUUUUCAUUACAUCGUUCUUUACAUUUGCUUUUAAACGAACUUUCACAUCGACUAUGAGGGACAUAUGGAAUUGUGUGAUCAUGCAAUACAAGUAUUCACUUCAUUUCCAUGCAGACUUCACAUCAAAGGUCGGCGAGUGCUCCGUAGUGAAAUAAUGCAGACAAACAAAAAUCAUGCCAUGUAUCCACACGCAGUCGAAAUAAAGCCAUCCAUGAGCAUCGUGCUGGAACGAAAGGUUCCUCCGCAUACCCGUGUUCGGAGCCCACAUGCAUGACACUACUUCCAUUGCAAAACUCACUGCCAGGCAUAUCAAAACCUCACCUUCUUCUUCUGGACCUGAUCCUUGCUGCCAGGAGUUCGCACUGCGUUUGUCUGUGGCUGCCCCGACAAUGCCAUGGAUUUCUACACUUCCACCCUCCCUCUAUCCACACCACUACCAAGUUCUCAUCACUCAAACACAUUCCUACCUCUCCGCGGCUACCCACCUGUGUAUGCACAUCUCACAUCUGCCAGAACUAAGCGAUCGCCAACUCCCACCGCACUGCACAGCAACAGUACGCACUCCACUGUGAAAGCACAUCCACGCUCCAACGACACAAUAAAACCAACCACAGCAACGAUCGCAUCGCGCUGCUCUGCUUCUCAUUUAUUGGAAACAAAGAAUGCUUAACAUGAAUACCAAUCUUCACCCCACCCAUCUCCAAAUAAUUAUCUUCCUAUCUAACCAAUCGUUCCACCCUUCCCACGUACCCAUCACCUUCACCUACGCCCACCCUACUCUACACAUACGGCAGCCACUGCUUGGCGUCGAUGAAUCCGUAAUCCAAAAACGGCUUCGCCUGUGCGGCGCUCAGAACCUUCGACCACGGCGCGCGACCUUUCCUGUUCGCUCCGGGACCCGUGCACGCAUACUCGGCGUAGAAUACCGUCUUCUGCCUCCUCUUAUCAUCCCAGUCCUGCCACCCGAUCGGACGGAUUAUGUUCGCCAUGUUGCACCUGCAGAACACCACGCGAGAGUGCGUCCCCCAAGCACGUCCCAGGUAGAUAGACCCGCUUCCCCUGAUCGUGCAUUGGUCGAACACGAAACCCGUCCUCGAAAAGCUCUCCCUCUUCUGAGCUGUGAUCGACCCACUCGUGCCCUUUGCGAUUGACUCGAUCAGACACUUCUUGUAGAUCGACUGCCCAUCGCCGAAUACAAAAUCGAUAGACCCCCGAAUGUAGCAAUCCCUGAAGUAGUGACGUCCUUCCUUGUCGUACAACGUGUCCUGCGCUCCCAAAAAUGCACAUCGGUAGAAUGCGCCCUGGUCUCCCUGGAUCCGAAGCGCCACCGCCUGCUUCCCUACAGCGCCGCCCGGUGGAGCGG
Molecule: long non-coding RNA, 8880 nt
Filed under: Physcomitrium patens
Lineage: Eukaryota; Viridiplantae; Streptophyta; Bryopsida; Funariales; Funariaceae
Description: long non-coding RNA (PPAT_LNC003559)
Source: RNAcentral